AUUUUCCUGUUUUGUUUGGCAAAUGAAAAUUCUAAUUUUGCCUCAGUGGGAAAUUCCCCUAUACCUAGCGUUUCUCUAGUACGCAAAAGGUAGGAGCGAAGACCCAAAUGAAUAUUGCCGGACCAGCAACGCCUGAGCUUCGCAGGAAAGCAACUGGAAGGUGGGAUAUGGCGGAACCCUAGCCUUCCUGGUUCUCCCCCCUACAAGCCCUGGAAGAUUAAGCACAAGAAGAAAAAGAUGAAGCUGGCCGUCCGCCAGUUCUACUCGGUGGACGAUUCUGGGAAAUUAAGUCUUGGAGGCUUGAGGAAGGAGUGCCCCAAUGCCGAGUGCAGUUUCAUUCUUGAAUAUAUGCUAGCAUCAGCUUUGGUACAAAAUUCUGAAUUAGAAUUAUUAUGUGUCCUCACCAAUGAUGGUUGAGUGGAAUCAAAUUUCUCUCUACUAUUAUAGUCUUAAAAUCAAUCAAUGAUUUUCUUCAAUUUUGCAUCCCAGUAAAAAACAUUUGGCGUUCCAGUAAGAGAAUUGUUUGGCUUUGUGGUGUAAAGACUUGACCAGAUAUUGCAGACUUAAGCCAUUAAGCCAUUGUUCUAUGCUUUAUCUAUCAUCACUUUCAACUUAUUAUCUUCAUAUUUACAAAUGUCGUAGGGAAGAAUUCUCAUGGAAAUGAAUUAUAUGCUGGCAUUUAGGUCUGCAGAGGCUUCUUUGAAGUUGUUACAGAGGUUUGAGCUCCUUUAAAUACUUACCCUGUCCCGGUGUGCAGGUAUGCAGUGUUUUUUGUCAGCAUAUAAUGGAGAUUUAGGAUUGAUUUCAGAAAUUUAAGAAUCAAGCUCAAGUUUAAUGCCAUGGAGUACAUGUGUUUAAAUUUAAGGCAAUGAAAAGUUCAAUGCAACAUUUGCUGCCACAGUUGCACCUACACUUCAACUCACUACUGCCAUCGUCACUUCUGUGUGAUCCAAACCCAAACUCUCCUGAAAAUGAGGAAGCUGCGUGGAUGUUUAGUGAGAACAAGCAUGAAUACAAUACAAAAGUACGUGAAACUGUUGAGCAGAGCUGGGCUGCUGAUUAAUUUACUCCAGCUUGGAUGCUAGGAAGCUACGUGAAAUUGUUGAGCAGAGCUGGGCUGCUGAUCAAUUUACUCCAGCUUGGAUGCUAAGAAGCUUUAAAAUUUCAGUCAGACUGACCUGUUUGAAUAACUAUGAAACUUGAAAAAUCAUUUUGCCUCGAACUACUUGUGAUUAUGUGAAAUAUUUGCUUGGUUUGCAUGGACAGUGUUUGACCACUUAUCAAUGUAUCCAUAUUUUAUGCA
Molecule: long non-coding RNA, 1303 nt
Organism: Ziziphus jujuba (common jujube)
Lineage: Eukaryota; Viridiplantae; Streptophyta; Magnoliopsida; Rosales; Rhamnaceae
Exons: 3
Source: RefSeq, a predicted model, not a curated record